GUGGGGAAUCUUGCGCAAUGGGCGAAAGCCUGACGCAGCCAUGCCGCGUGUAUGAUGAAGGUCUUAGGAUUGUAAAAUACUUUCACCGGUGAAGAUAAUGACUGUAGCCGGAGAAGAAGCCCCGGCUAACUUCGUGCCAGCAGCCGCGGUAAUACGAAGGGGGCUAGCGUUGCUCGGAAUUACUGGGCGUAAAGGGAGCGUAGGCGGACAUUUAAGUCAGAGGUGAAAUCCCGGAGCUUAACUUCGGAACUGCCUUUGAUACUGGGUGUCUUGAGUGUGAGAGAGGUAUGUGGAACUCCGAGUGUAGAGGUGAAAUUCGUAGAUAUUCGGAAGAACACCAGUGGCGAAGGCGACAUACUGGCUCAUUACUGACGCUGAGGCUCGAAAGCGUGGGGAGCAAACAGGAUUAGAUACCCGGGUAGUCC
This 425-nucleotide ribosomal RNA is filed under the name uncultured bacterium. Its description in RNAcentral is "bacterial SSU rRNA". It matches the Rfam family "Bacterial small subunit ribosomal RNA", at positions 354 to 796 of the family's 1533-position model. The record is from RNAcentral.